RNAcentral lists this ribosomal RNA (301 nucleotides) under uncultured bacterium. Its description in RNAcentral is "partial 16S ribosomal RNA". It matches the Rfam family "Bacterial small subunit ribosomal RNA", at positions 509 to 807 of the family's 1533-position model. The record is from RNAcentral.
CAGUCGCCACGGUAAUACGAAGGGUGCAAGCGUUACUCGGAAUUACUGGGCGUAAAGCGUGCGUAGGUGGUGGUUUAAGUCCGUUGUGAAAGCCCUGGGCUCAACCUGGGAAUUGCAGUGGAUACUGGGUCACUAGAGUGUGGUAGAGGAUAGUGGACUUUCCGGUGUAGCAGUGAAAUGCGUAGAGAUCGGAAGGAACAUCUGUGGCGAAGGCGACUAUCUGGGCCAACACUGACACUGAGGCACGAAAGCGUGGGGAGCAAACAGGAUUAGAUACCCCCGUAGUCCCUGUCUCUUAUAC